Molecule: ribosomal RNA, 253 nt
Filed under: uncultured bacterium
Lineage: Bacteria
Description: partial 16S ribosomal RNA
Rfam family: Bacterial small subunit ribosomal RNA
Source: RNAcentral
UACAGAGGUCUCAAGCGUUGUUCGGAUUCAUUGGGCGUAAAGGGUGCGUAGGCGGCGCGGUAAGUCGGGUGUGAAAUCUUGGAGCUUAACUCCGAAACUGCAUUCGAUACUGCCGUGCUUGAGGACUGGAGAGGAGACUGGAAUUUACGGUGUAGCGGUGAAAUGCGUAGAGAUCAUGAGGAAGACCAGUGGCGAAGGCGGGUCUCUGGACAGUUCCUGACACUGAGGCACGAAGGCCAGGGGAGCAAACGGG